UCCCAGACUCCUACGGGAGGCAGCAGUGGGGGAUAUUGCACAAUGGGGGAAACCCUGAUGCAGCGACGCCGCGUGAGGGAAGACGGUUUUCGGAUUGUAAACCUCUGUCUUUGGGGACGAAUUGAGACGGUACCCAAGGAGGAAGCUCCGGCUAACUACGUGCCAGCAGCCGCGGUAAUACGUAGGGGGCAAGCGUUAUCCGGAUUUACUGGGUGUAAAGGGAGCGUAGACGGCAUGGCAAGCCAGAUGUGAAAUACCGGGGCUCAACCCCGGGACUGCAUUUGGAACUGUUAAGCUGGAGUGUCGGAGAGGCAGGCGGAAUUCCUAGUGUAGCGGUGAAAUGCGUAGAUAUUAGGAGGAACACCAGUGGCGAAGGCGGCCUGCUGGACGAUAACUGACGUUGAGGCUCGAAAGCGUGGGGAGCAAACAGGAUUAGAUCCCCGCGUA
Molecule: ribosomal RNA, 447 nt
Filed under: uncultured bacterium
Lineage: Bacteria
Description: bacterial SSU rRNA
Rfam family: Bacterial small subunit ribosomal RNA
Source: RNAcentral